UUUGCCAAAAUGGCGGGUAUUGAGGUCGAAGUCUGCUUCAGGUCACUUUAUGUUGUGCGUUUGUAAACGUUUCGCUCUUGAGAUGAAUGAUUCUGUUUAGGUUUGCCAAGUUAAUGAAGAAGUCAUGGCUACAUGUGAUUCAUGUGCCGAUCUUUAUCGUUUACUGCAAUCAUAUACUGUAAAGUGUGCAUCAGGAGAGCAAUUUGAUGUUAGAAAAAAGGAUGUCAGCGUGUUACUAGAGUUCACACAGCCACAGAGGCAAUGCAAUUGUUGUUUUAAGGAUUUAAAAAAUUUUGAAAGGUUAAACAACAUAGUUCAACUUCUACUACGAUUCGCAAUCAACUCAAUACCCAGUUUUCGCCUAUUAACGCAAGAUGAAAGAGCGUCCAGCUCCGAGAAAGAAUCCUCAGAAAGAGAAUCGAAUGUGUCAGUUCAUAAGGAAAAUGAAGUCACAAAUGUAAGCGCCGGUGAAAAGCUAACAGAAGAGAGGGAAGACACAGGAAAAGUAAAGGAGGAUGAUGGGAAACAUGAGGUGGAAAUUACCUGUCCAACAAAUUCUGAAACAAUAGAGACUGAAGGUACUGUAGAUAUUAAACAAGAUGAAGUUAGUGAUGAUGUAAUACAAGAGAAGAUGUCCUCCGAGGAAGCGAUGAUGAGGGAUGCUGAGGAAGAUGCCGAAGAAGAGAUGGAAGUGGAAGUGGAGAUUUGGGGAAUAAAGGACUAUGAAAAGUUACUACAUCUUGUUGCCAAGGUUUUUCAAAUGAACUUUGCCCUAUAUGCAGCACACAAACACAUGUGUCACGGAAUAACAGAAGAAUUAUCAUCUCAAGAGUCCGAGGCUUUAGGAAACUAUUGUGAAAUGAAUGACCUAGAAGUUCCAAUAUUUCUUCUGCGAAAUGUCUGUUUCUUCUGCGAUAGCAACGGUUUGUCAGUCAUGCAUAACUGUUUUGACGGAUCUACCCCUGAAGCUCUACACUUUGGUUUAGCGCAUGGAAUUAUUGCUGUUGUUGCUAACCUACGUAUAUGGCUUCAUAUCCAUGCUGUCAUGCAGUAUGUCGCUCCACUCCGUGCUCACGUUAUCAGGUAUCUCUGCAAAUUGAAUGACAAUGAUCUACGGCAGACCAGUGCCCGUAACAUGGCGGAUAUGAUGUGGAAUAUGAUCAAGGAACCCAUCGAAACGGCUCUACACUUCGACGGCGACAGUCUCGAGCUAGCUUAUAAAUACUUCCUUUCUUCGACAUUGACCAUGCGGCUUACAGGGUUAAACCAGAUCACCAGUCAAAUUCAUCUUUAUAAUGAAAUAUGCAGCAGUGAAUCGAUAACAGACAGUGAAAAUGUUGGAACACAACUGGCCAACUGGCUACUAGAGAAGGAGAUAGUUGAGCAUAUAUUUGGCCCUAAUUUACAUCUGGAGAUUGUGAAGCAGUGUCAAGUUAUACUGAAUUUUUUAGCUGCAGAUGGCAACAUCACCACCAAGCACAUCGACUGUAUUUGGAACACAGCGCAACUAAAGCACUCUAGUCGUUACGUUCACGAUCUUCUACCGCACUUGAUAAAACAUUUGGAGCCCAUACCGCUAUUCCAUCUAUUAAAAUUGGUCUCCAGCCUUCCACCAUCGGCUCACACUGAACAGACAUUAUUUUUGAGUCAAGUGCUAACAAAGUGCAUUUGGGGAAAUGCUCUUUCUACUCAAGUUGUCACCUCUACUCCGCAUAAAAAACCACAAGCGCAGUAUCCAGUAAUCAGAAGGAACUUGCAAGGAAUGCAUCAUGCAGGGCAUCACAGUCUGAGCAAUAGCAAUGAGAGUAUGAACACUCAAGUCAGUGAUGCGGAACAGGAAUCUCACCACUUCCAUAGGGAAGAUGAGGCAGAAGAAUUGUUAGACGUUGUAGGAAUGGAAGAAUCUACAGAGAGUAAUAAAUUAGCAGACACAUCAAAAGAUUUCUCUACUCAACCUAAGAAAUCUUCAAAUAAGCGCAGGCUGAUCAAAAGACACAGGGCAAAACAUCGACAACAAGUGCUAACACGGCAUUCAUCAUCCAACGAAUCAAAUGGGGACGAUUCUGACAACAUCGACUCUGAGAAUGAAGCUCUCGCGACUAGUCCCGAACCCAUGGAUAGCGAGAGUGGUGAAUCGAACGAUGAACAGGCUGGUAGCGAAGUAAGCGAAUUCAGCAUGGAUAUACCAUCAAAGUUAUCGCCUUCCGUGAAGGCAACAAAGGAACGUAGCCGAAGUGACGGCAGUAGCGUAGGUAGUAGUAAGCACGAGCUGGAAGAAAUUGACAGGCUACGAGAGGAAAAUUUAUCAGAAACCCCUGGAAUCAAAGUUAAAAGAGCAACGAUAAACUUAGACCAUACGUUUAGGAGACAAAGACUACAAGCAAUACGCAAGUCAAAACCUUAUAGACAAAAAGGUGAAAUUCUCUCGGACAGUGAUAAUGAUGAAGAAGAAGUGAUCCAAAAACAUGAAAAGUUAGUACAAGUUGUCCGACCGUGCAUGCAUGUGUACCCAAACACAUCGGACAUUUUAGACUCUGAUGCAGAUAAUCUAAUCAUGUUAUCAUCCCAGCGUAGAUCCUCGCACUCGGAGGAGUUUGCUGGUGAGAGUAGCGCUGAUGUUGAGGUGUAUGACUGCAGAGGUUUUAAACCAUUUCCACCUAGAAUGAGAAAUAUUGAUAUUUUGAGUCCUGAAGACAUCAGCUGCAGCAGUUCCCAGGGCAGUACAAAGUCUGAGAAGAACAUGGCAGACUUUGAUGGUGAAGAUUCAACUGGUGAGGAUGAAUUCAUCCAGCUGAAUGAGCAACUUCACCAGCAACUGCAUGGGCAGCUCACUUUACCGGAGAUUGACUCGGUAUAUGGCAAACAUACCAAAGGCUCAUGUUCUCACAGGAGUUCUUGUGACGACCAACAAGGUCCUUACAAAGAUUUUAACUUUGAUGUGGUCUGUAAAAAAGGACACACCCUUCUUUGGGACUUGGUGCAAGACCACUAUGCAGCCCAGCUUGGUGAAGGCUUAGCAGUAGAAGCAGAGAAGAUGCUUAGUACAUUAGUGUGUGUGUUCCCUGAAAGGGAAAUACGGAUGAAGUUUGUUGAAGGAUGCCUUGAUAAUCUAAAACACCACCGAUCUGUUGUUGUAUCUCUGAGACUUUUGCCAAAACUCUUCGGAUCUUUCCAGCAAUAUAGGAAUAACUGUAACACCCACUGGAUUACUAUGUGGGCUGAAGAGGAGCUUCAUAUGAUGGAGCAUUUCUUCAAUGAUUUAGUGUUUUACACUCAAAAAAUAAGAAAUGGUGAUAAAGAUAAAGGACUGUAUUCCCAUGCAACAGAAGUACAAGUCCGUCUUCAAUUCCUUAACUGUGUCUUCUCAACACUUGGAUCUCCUGAUGAUUUUAGGUUAUCUGUGGAUCAGGUGGAUAUUUUGUGGUCAUGCCUAGCAACCGAUGAGGAAUGUUCUGAUGGUGCUUUAAACUGGUUCUUAAAUCAAGCUAGAAACAAAGACCAACAGCAUCCACUUGGCCUCGAGACAUUCAAACACAUCUUUUUUAACAAAAUGCCUUUACUAGAAGCUGAUACUAUCAGUAUGACUGGGUUGAAGCUAUUCCAACAAUUAUGUAGCUUGGCUAGGCUAGCUAACUCAUCCUACGACAGUCCUGCAGUUGAGAUGCCAGGUAUUGAUCAACUGUGGAAAAUAGCAUUAAGGGCCAAGAAUACAGAUGUUAGCAUAUCUGCCAUACAGUACUUGAACACAUAUUAUAUUAAUGCUGGCAACGGCACACUUGAGAAGGAGGAGGAGUUCAUACAGCUAUGUAUGGAGAGUUUAGCGAGUGCAUCAGCCAAGCUGAAGGACUCACAAGAAUCAAGUUUACUGGUGCUACAAAGAGGUUUAAUUUUAUUAAAAACACAUUUAGAAGCUUUUAAGAAAAGAUAUUCAUAUCAUUUGCGGCAGUGGCAACUGCUGAAUAAAGGUAUCAUAAGUCACGAGAAGAACAAAGUACAGAAUGACACAGACAUAGUCAGGGUUGUCUGCCAAAUGGCUAGUAUGUCUGAAAAGUUCACUUUGGAGCUACACCUGACUGACUUGGUUGCAGACCUGAGGGCAGAGGUCACAUACUUUUCAGAACGCCUCCAGAAGCAACGAGAAGACAAGCCUCGGCAACCAAUCACAUCCACCUCACAUGGCUUUUCCAGCCUUUCCAGUUUCCUAUUGGACAACCAUGGACCGGUGCGAAUGAUCUCAGCUGGUCAUGAACUCACAUCGGAUCUUGAUGAGAAAAUGCUCAAAGAAAUGGGAUUUGUAGACUUUCAGCUUGUGUAUGUGUCUUUCGGGGCAAUACGAAGGGAACGAAAACGUGACACAAUGGAUUUACCUUCAUCGUGCCUUCCAUCACCACCACGGGAAAAGCUACCCAUGAUGCUCUUGCUGCAGGAGCCACACUUCAGCUGUCUGUUAAACCUCCUGCAACAGUUGGAAGAUAUGAAGUGUGAUUCACAGGAUGAACAGAACAAGCAGGAAUACAUGACAAGGGCGCAGGUGCUAUCAAGGAAUGUCUGGGACCUGCUAAUGCUGCUACCCACAAGUGCUGAUAUGCUGAACAAGUUUAAAAAUAUCAAACUUACUGCCAAGGAAGAAGAUACGAAUAGGAGGUUAUCUGAGGGCAGUGUUCAGUCAAGCGUGAACUGGAGCGAGUUGCUGGAUGAGAGCAAGUUGCAUAAGCUACUCUAUUCACUACAGAUCAUUGAAACUCUUGGACAACCUUCAAAAGGAAGUAAAAGAAGCAAAUCCGUGGCUGCUAUUGGUAGGACCGAUAUCUCACAACAAGCUGGAACGUCAGAUUUAGGCGAUGUACAGCACUCUAAGAGUGAUUCAUGCCUGUACAGUACUGACACAGAAGAGGAAGGUAAAGAUGUCUGGUCUUCAAUGUUUAUAAAGACAGGUGGCUUGAAACACCUGUUUAGCAUAUUUAUGUCUGGACACCUGGAACCAAAAGAAGGCCAACAAUGGACUUUAUGGCAACAAGAUUGCUUAGCAAUUGUGCUGAAGCUAAUUAAUGAGUUCGCUCUUGAUCAAGUCACCUUGGAGGUCGGACAAGACGAUGUGUUCGACAGUUUGUCAGAGUUUGACUCGCCUCCUAAGAAGCCACGGAGUGGUCGAAGUAAACCUUUCCAAGAUGAAAAGAAGUCGGUGAAGAGAUUAUCACAUGAAUUACUAGCUAUGAUGACACAGGAUGGGGUGUUGACUAAGCUGAUGGACGUUUUGUACCAAGCAGCUGCAUCGAGGGAAACAGGGCAAGUGCAAUCUGGUUACUGGGUGGUUCAUUAUGCAAUGAUGUUACUGAAAUCCUGGGGGAUGAGUAAUCCAUCGGUCAAAGGUCACUUGGUCAAGAGUCCCAACUUUGACCAAUGGCUACUACGAAUGGUAUUGAAAACACCUGAGAGGUAUGUCCGCAAUGAGGUUCGUACCGGUUUGUUUGAGCUGUGUGAGGGUAACAAGGAGCCAUGUCAGAAGUUUAUAUGGUCUCUGCUUUCUACGCUUCUCAAUUUCUUACCGGUCGCCCAAGAGAUUAAGCCAAAGAAGUUUGAUGAUGAGUAUGACAAUCCUGGGCCGGGAUGCCGGGACUAUUUUUGGUUGCUAUGCGCUCUUAUGGACAAUGUACGAAGACCAGAUGACGAUGAUGAAUACGAGAAAAUGAUAAUAAAAAUUAAUUCUAUUAUAGAGCACAUCGCUGAAGCACUUAUCAGUAGAGAAAUAUAUGAAGAUCGCCACAACACUGAUGAGGACAAAACGCUGACCGGACUGCUGAAGCUCAGUACAUCUGCCCUCAAGCAUGACCCACCGUUCAAGUUCAGCAAGGAAGGCCAGGUGUUUUUAAACAAUGUGUUUGAUUGCCUGUUUGCUGUUCCCUCCAUUGACAAUCGUAACCUACCCAAGUGCAAGUCACGGGAAGCUAGGCAUGCAGCCUUUGACUUACUAGUGAAGCUUGCCGAUAGUUGCCAGGAUAACUACACUAUACUGCACAAAAGAAUGCUAAACCAACAUCGACCAGGUUCUCACAUACCGUACCCAUGGCAGUACUGGCCCCUUGACGAUGGGCGCUCACCGUGCGGCUAUGUAGGCCUAACUAAUCUUGGAGCUACCUGUUACAUGGCCUCCUGUAUGCAACAACUUUUCAUGAUGCCAGAAGCUAGGGCCCCAAUACUUAAUGGAAAGAUAAAUGAACACACAAAGCAUAAAAACACCCUCUAUGAGCUGCAGCGGAUGUUCACAUUUCUACAAGAGAGCGAGCGUAAGACUUACAACCCACGCAGCUUCUGCAAAGUAUACACCAUGGAUAAGCAGCCACUCAAUACCGGUGAACAAAAGGACAUGACAGAAUUCUUCACAGAUCUGAUUAGUAAAAUGGAAGAAAUGACUCCAGAACUUAGAGAACUUGUUCACAGUUUAUUCAAAGGUGAAUUGACAAACAAUGUUGUGUCGUUAGACUGCCCCCACGUGAGCAGAACAACUGAAGAGUUCUUCACUGUAAGAUGUCAAGUGGCUGAUAUGAAAAAUCUCUAUGAAUCGCUUGAUGAAGUCACUGUUAAAGAUACUUUAGAGGGUGAUAAUAUGUAUACUUGCUCACAAUGCGGGAAGAAGGUCAGAGCAGAGAAAAGGGCUUGCUUCAAAAAACUUCCUAAAAUCCUAUCAUUCAACACAAUGCGAUACACUUUUAAUAUGGUAACCAUGAUGAAGGAGAAGGUGAACACACACUUUUCAUUCCCAGUACAAUUGGACAUGUCAGGCUACACUGAGGAUGCCCUCAUGGGCAACAAACCCCAAGGUCAGGAAGACAAUUUAGAUUAUCUAUAUGGCUUAGUUGGGGUAACAGUACACACUGGAACUGCAGAUGGUGGCCAUUAUUAUAGUUUUAUCAAAGACCGUAUCCAUAGCGAUGCCCAGCGUGAUCGCUGGUACAUGUUCAAUGAUGCAGAAGUAAAGCCCUUCGAUUCAACUCAGCUGGCUGCUGAGUGCUUUGGUGGUGAAAUGACAACGAAGACUUAUGAUUCUGUAACUGACAAGUAUAUGGACUUUUCAUUUGAAAAGACACAUAGUGCAUACAUGCUUUUCUAUGAGAAGAUUGAGCCAGAGGAGUCCAAAAAGAAGGCAGCAAGUGUCCUGGAUCAAGUGCAAUUAUCAAAAGAUCUUGCUCAGUCAAUCUGGCAGGAUAAUAUGCAAUUUCUUCGUGAUCGUUUCAUCUUUGAUCGUCAGUACAUGGAUUUUAUGUGGAAGGUGUGUCAUCCGCUGCCAUCAACGUUACCGCAGCCGCAGAGCUUUCAACCAAUGAGCUCCAAGCUCACCACAUGUUUUGUCCUUGAGACGUUGAUCCAUGCCAAAGAGAAGCCCAUAAUGGUGCAAUGGAUGGAACUGAUGACCAAGCAAUUCCACACAUGCGCUGAAGCAUGUGAGUGGUUCCUUGAUUUCAUGGCAAAAGAUGAUUGUUGGCCAAUGCAGAUUCUAAUCAAGUGUCCGAUACAAACUGUGAGGCAGCUCUUCCAACGUCUGUGUAUCCAUGUGAUACCUCAGCUGAGAGAUAAGCAUGCUCCUCUGUACAUUCAUGCUGAUGUUGACAGUGAUGAAGAUGGUUAUAUUGCCCCAACUCACAUCGGAAAUUGUUCAUGUGUGACAAGGUUCAUUAAAAAGCUGCUUUCAAUAAUUGAGCAUGGUGUCAGACCUCACUGUAAACAUUUGACAGAAUAUUUUUCAUUACUGUUCGACUUCGCCAAGAUCGGGGAAGCAGAGUCAGCAUUUUUACUGUCAAUAGAAGCAAUCACAAUUAUGGCCAACUUCUAUCUCGGCACCAAAUCCGCAGAAUAUGUUGAAGUGUUGUCAGAUGAUGAUAACGACGAGGAUGAUGAUGAUGAUGAUGUCAUUUCAUUAACUGAAGACAAAUAUCGGCCAAUAUCAUUUGAGAAGAUGAUCGCCCUCAUGGCUUACUUAGUGGAGCAAUCUCGUCGAGAUCGUCAACUUACACUCUCCCAAAGUGACUAUGCGGUACUUGUCGGUGGAAAGGGAUACCCUUUCCUUUAUCAACAAAUUCGAGACAACAUCAACAUUCAGCAAACUAGGAACCUGAUCUUCAGCCUGACCAGGUUCUCACCAAGGCUACCAGAGCAGAUUGUUGCUAUGAUAUUCAAUGCUAUUGCUAAACUGAAUCAAGAGGCUGGACAGCCUUUCUUCAAGUUACUAUCAAUGCUGGUAGACAUGGUUGGAGGACCACCUGGCUUACCUGCCUUCACGCCUUUGAUUCUACAGAGAAUGUGGGAGAUAGCCGAGUACAACCCUCACCAGGUACUGGACUGGCUAGCUGCCCAUGUGCCCAGAAACAAGUAUGCUCAUCACUGGACACUACAAGGCAUUGAGACGUGGAUCGAACACUUCCUAUUGGAACACCACAAUGCUCGAGUUAGAAGCUCUGCUGCCUACUUGCUAGUCUCUCUGGUUCCAGACACUCAAUUUCGACAAGGUUAUAGGUCAUCUAGAAGCAUGCAUAAUCCUCAGAAAGAGCUUGUGUUGACUACUGAAGCCCUUGAGGUAUUGCAUGAAGUCUACAGAGUUCUACUGGAACUUCUUAGGAUUGCAAGGCAGUUUGCAGAUGCAUCGGUCCAUGGAACUGCGAAAUUAGUGUCGUUUUUCUCUCUCCUCAAUUACUGUCUCAUAUCAAAAACUGAAAAGCAAAUGUUUAGUCCGUAUUUUGAAGACCUUUGGAAUAUUUACCUACCGAAGCUGUCAGAGCCUCCCAUCUCAUGCAAUCACAAUAAAGAGGCCCUGCUAAUAUUCUGGUACAAUGUUUGCAAGGACUGUCCAGAGAAUGUUCAGCUGAUCGUCUCUAAUUUAGUGGUUACAAAACACUUACCAUAUAACUACAUUUUAGCUGAUCAUGAGGAUCAGGAGGUGGUGAUGUUCAACCGAGUGAUGUUGCCGGCAUACUACGGCCUACUCACCCUAUGCUGCCAGCAGUCAAAGUCUUUCACAAGGACAUUGGCUUGUCAACAGAACUUGCAGUGGGCCUUUGAGCAUCUCACCCCACAUGCCAAUCAGUACCCCACCGUCGUUGAAGAACUUUUUAAGUUAAUGGAAUUAUUUGUAGAGAAGCGACCAGGAACAACUGAGCAAGAGCUGCAACAAAUCAAAGAGUUCAAGCGACAGACUCUCCACAUGUAUCUGAAGUGCCUUGAGAAGAACUCCUGCUGGACAACCAUCAUCAGUGUGUUCCGGAUUCUAGUGGAGAACAAAGAAGAUCACUUACUGGUCAUCCAGAACCAUGGUCUUAGCAGACUGUAUGAUGCUUUUAACACAGUGCAUUUGAUGUACCAUGAAGCCACAGCUUGUCAUGUGACCGGAGACCUUGUAGAGUUGCUGUCAAUCAUCCUGCUGGUGUUGAAAUGUGCCAAAGCCCACUCAGAUGACAAUGAAAUUUGUCAGUCUUUAAUCAUGUGGCAAGAGAGACUAGAGUUUGGACAGAAGUUGCUAACUUUGCUCAACUCAUACACACCAGAUAGUGUCAGAACUAAAGCCAUAAGUAUUUUAACACAGCUGUUGAUGCUGUAUCCCAAGGAAUGCGUCAAGGAGCUUGGUCUGAUAAUACAUCAUGCACACAACCAAUUCCAACGCACCACUAUGCCAGUACCAACAGGACCUUUCUUUCCAUUCCGUGCUCCGAAGCCAGCCUUCAAUAAAGCUGGGAUACGCCCUCCGAGGCCGGAGCUUCAAAUGUUCCUACACGCCAGUCAGCUCGAGACGUCCAAGGGAACUGAUGUUGUUUAUGACAAUAGGCUGUUGGACUUCUUUCUUCCAUAUCAUGUUUUCAUUGACUUGCUAUGCAGGACUGCAGUUGCAGAGAACAUGCUCUCAGAAACUAUCAUUAAGCUCAGUGCACUUGUGGCUUUGGAAGGAGUACCUCUGCAACUAAGCUGGUUUGCAAACUUUUGGAAAACAAUCUAUGUAACAGAGGAUGUUGACAAGGAUUGUAAGGAGACGUUAUGCAAUUACCAUGUAUUCCACGAGUUCAUGGAGUCUGUUCUACUUGAUGAACGCACCUCAUUUAAUAACCCCAUCAUCAACUCUUUCUUCUGUAUGUUCUUCCCAAAGGUAUACAAACAUGUACUGUGCAAUAACUGGGACAAUUUAGUGAACACGGUGGCAGCUGCAUUGAUAGCUGAGAUGGACGACAUCAACAAAUACAAAGCAAAGCAACUCAAUAUGGUCGCUUACACAUUGAAUGGGGAUCUAAGAGCACUCCUUCUAAUGUUUUCUGUCUCACCACCAAGACAUCUAAGCUCGGUAUUUGUUCCAGCUCUCAAACACAUCUUGGCUCGAUGCAAGCAAUAUCAACUAGAAAGAGCUGAUCAAUUGGAGGCUCAGAAAGACCACAAGGAAUCAAAAACAGACACACACAGCAAAAAUAGUACUACAGAUUCUAAGGACCAAUCAGAAUUGCCAGAAUCUGACUCAAAUUUGAAGAAGAGAAAAGCAGAAGAUGAACUUGAAAGCACUGAUGAAAAAUCAAUAUCACCAAAUGAUUCAACAAAGAAACAAAGAGUAGACACUGGAUUAAUGGAGAAUGAUGAAUCCGCUUCAGAUGAUCAGAGUGUGUCAAAGGAUGAUAAGGAACAAUCUUCAAGUGAAGAGUCUAGUGAAGAGGGAACCUCAACUGGUCUGAGGUCAAAAAGUCCCACCUCUGCAGACGUCAAGGUUCCUAAGGAAUCAUUCAAACUAUCAGAAGUUAUGAAAAAAGCAGCAACACGUUUACAAGAGAAUGUGGACAUACUUGUUAAAACAAUUGAUAAAAUGCUCUUGUUGUUAGAUAAAUGUGGUCUGAUUGAGAAAGAAAGUACAGAAAAUGUUGAUGAAUGAAGAAAUCAGAUUUACACGAGCUUUUAAAAAUAUGCUGCUUCAAUGUAUAUGCAAACAUUUAGAGGAAUUGGCUCUGCUAUGCUUUGCGGCCCACAGUUGAAGAAAAUUUGGCAGUAUUGAGGAAGUGUUCAGGUAUCUACCAGUCCUGGACUUUACUACCAUUACGUAGUCACUACAUACAUAGUUAAUUGAAAAAAAAACACUCAGUAGGCAUAUGAGGUGGUGAGUGUUUUUGAGUGUUGCCGAGAGUUAUUUCCACAACCAGGAAAUGUUCUAGACCCCAGUAAGUGAUUCAGAGUGAGUUUCUUCCAUUCCAAUUAUGUUUACUUUAAUGCAUAUUCAUGCCAAUAUUAAUUUGCAUAGAAGUGAGCAGUAAUUUUGCCUUGCUUACAAUUUCUGUGUUAAUGUCAUUAGCUUUCAUAUCAUCACGUUUGAGGUAGGCAUAUUAACUAACAUUAAGCCAACCUCCCUAAAGUCAAAUGUACUGGAUUUAUUGUGUGGUACAAUAUAGUGAGGAUAAGUGUCAAUUUAACACAGGUACUGUGGCAACAUGUAGCAUCAACACUUGUGGGGUCAGAAGGUGUAACACAGGUGAUGCAUCAUUUGAAAGCAUGUGGUAUAAGAAAAUUUGACAUGUUUUGUGGCAUUAGAAAUUGUGGCAUGAGUGUAACACACAGAAUACGCCACUGGUAGUGUAGCAUGAGGGAGUGCAUCAGAGAUGGCGUGUCAUCAGAGGGUACAGCACAGGUGAUGUUGUUUUGGUGUCAUAGUGGUAGUUUAACAUGGGUGGUGUGGCCUCUGCAAGUUUAACUCGGUGAUGUGGCAUCAACAAUAGUUAUCACUCACUUGUCAUUGAACAGAACCUUGAAAUAUGACAUUGUACUACUUUAAAAACUAUUAGGCAUCUUAUGCUAUUGACAAAAUGAAGGACUAUUGACAAUACUGAUAAUUCAUUUAAAAAAAAGGUGUUGGUAAUUGUCAAGUCCAUUGUGUGUGUAGUGAUGCCCAUCUUAGUAACAUUGUGGGUGUGCAAUCCUACAAUUCUGUAUGUUACAUAAAGGGAGUACAAGAGGAUGUGUUAUUGAUUGUAGUCUAUGAGAAUGUUGCAUACAUUUUAACACAUUAAGAUCAGAAUAUUCGUCAUGAAGAACUUAGUAGGCGAUUUUGUUCAACAUCAUAUUGAUGGAUAGUAUUGUUCGUAUUUUGCUAUAUUUGUAAUGCUUUUGUAAAUAAUUGUAAUUUACAAAAAUGUGUUGUGAAAAAAUAUAUAUCUUGCCAAGUAACACAUUAUUCCUUGAGUUCAUAAAAAAGAAAUGACUGAUUUUGUUUUUAAAUACUUGAAAAUAAGUUGCUUGGAAAUAGUAUGUGUCAGCUAUCUACAGAAAAAAAUUGAGGAUGUAUAUGUACAUUAUUUUAUGCAAACACUUGAAUGUGUCACCUGAAUGGUGGGGGAAAGCGCCUAUAAAUAGGUAGAGGUCAAUGGGAGGGAGUUAGGAGGGGUAAAAUCUUCUCAUUAGCUGGGGGUAAUGGGGCAUGCAGCGGGGGUACUGUCUCAGUGGUGGUGAAGCUUAACCAUUUUAGGUACUGUAUUAAGAGGAUUAAGUUAAUUGAUUUUAAGAUGUAAUUCCAGAAAUAGAAAACUUUUGACCUAUUUGGUGCUGUGUCUAGCAAGGAUUGUGAAUCCAAUGAUUACUAUCCCAGACACCCAUACCUAGCCUAUGUUAUUUCUGCAGACAUACAGUUUAUUGAUACUGUAAUACUGUUACUGUAUAUCUGUAAAAAUGACAAUAAAAUACAAAAAUGAAUUCAAUAAUGCAACAUAAUAUGAUUAAAUAUAAAAUAAAGUCUUAUUAAAUA
This 12748-nucleotide unclassified non-coding RNA is filed under the name Anneissia japonica. Its description in RNAcentral is "ubiquitin carboxyl-terminal hydrolase 34-like, transcript variant X1". Lineage: Eukaryota; Metazoa; Echinodermata; Crinoidea; Comatulida; Comatulidae. The record is from RNAcentral.